This 801-nucleotide ribosomal RNA is filed under the name uncultured soil archaeon. Its description in RNAcentral is "bacterial SSU rRNA". It matches the Rfam family "Archaeal small subunit ribosomal RNA", at positions 77 to 863 of the family's 1478-position model. The record is from RNAcentral.
CUAUGCGCACAGCUCAGUAGCACGUGGCUAACCUGCCCUUGGGACGGAAGAACCCCUGGGAAACUGGGGCUAAUUUCCGAUAGGUGAAGAUACCUGGAAUGGCUUUUCGCCUAAAGGGUGCUUGGAGCAUGCUUCUAGGCGUUGCCCAAGGAUGGGGCCGCGGCCGAUCAGGUUGUUGGUGAGGUAACGGCUCACCAAGCCUUUAACCGGUGCGGGCCGUGGGAGCGGAAGCCCGUAGAUGGGCACUGAGACAAGGGCCCAGGCCCUACGGGGCGCAGCAGUCGCGAAAACUUCGCAAUAAGCGAAAGCUUGACGGGGCUAUCCCGAGUGCCAUCCGCUGAGGAUGGCUUUUCCCUAGUAUAGAUAGCUGGGGGAAUAAGGAGAGGGCAAGUCUGGUGUCAGCCGCCGCGGUAAUACCAGCUCUCCGAGUGGUGGGGACGUUUAUUGGGCCUAAAGCAUCCGUAGCCGGCUGGGUAAGUCCCCUGUUAAACCCAGCGACUUAAUCGUUGGUCUGCGGGGGAUACUACUCGGCUAGGGGGCGAGAGAGGCCGUCGGUAUUCCCGGGGUAGGGGUGAAAUCCUAUAAUCCCGGGAGGACCACCAGUGGCGAAGGCUGUCGGCUAGAACGCGCCCGACGGUGAGGGAUGAAAGCUGGGGGAGCGAACCGGAUUAGAUACCCGGGUAGUCCCAGCUGUAAACGAUGCAGGCUAGGUGUUAGGGCGGCCACGUGCCGCUCUAGUGCCGCAGGGAAGCUGUUAAGCCUGCCGCCUGGGGAUUACGGCUGCAGGCUGAACUUAAAGGA